This 107-nucleotide ribosomal RNA is filed under the name Frullania chevalieri. RNAcentral describes it as "partial 5.8S ribosomal RNA". It matches the Rfam family "5.8S ribosomal RNA", at positions 49 to 154 of the family's 154-position model. From Rfam's summary of the family: 5.8S ribosomal RNA (5.8S rRNA) is a component of the large subunit of the eukaryotic ribosome. The record is from RNAcentral. RNAcentral also lists the same sequence under 1 other name. Lineage: Eukaryota; Viridiplantae; Streptophyta; Jungermanniopsida; Porellales; Frullaniaceae.
CGAAAUGCGAUACCUAGUGUGAAUUGCAGAAUUCCGCGAAUCAUCGAGUUUUUGAACGCAAGUUGCGCCCGAGGCUCGUACCGAGGGCAUGUCUGUCUGAGCGUCCA